Molecule: ribosomal RNA, 482 nt
Filed under: uncultured bacterium
Lineage: Bacteria
Description: bacterial SSU rRNA
Rfam family: Bacterial small subunit ribosomal RNA
Source: RNAcentral
AAUCAACGCUGGCGGCGUGCCUCAGACAUGCAAGUCGAACGAUUAAAGCUCUCUUCGGAGAGUGCAUAGAGUGGCGCACGGGUGAGUAACACGUAAGUAAUCUACCUUCGAGUGGGGAAUAACGUCCGGAAACGGACGCUAAUACCGCAUAAUGCAGCGGCAUCGCAAGAUGACAGUUGUUAAAGGAGCAAUCCGCUUGAAGAGGAGCUUGCGGCAGAUUAGCUUGUUGGUAAGGUAACGGCUUACCAAGGCUACGAUCUGUAUCCGGUCUAAGAGGACGGUCGGACACACUGACACUGAAUAACGGGUCAGACUCCUACGGAGGCAGCAGUCGGGAAUUUUGGGCAAUGGGGAAACCCUGACCCAGCAACGCCGCGUGAAGGAUGAAGUAUUUCGGUAUGUAAACUUCGAAAGAAUAGGAAGAAUAAAUGACGGUACUAUUUAUAAGGUCCGGCUAACUACGUGCCAGCCGCCGCUGUAAU